AAGGAUCAUUACUGAGUGAGGGUUUCGGCCCGACCUCCAACCCCUAUGUAUUCCGACUCUGUUGCCUCGGGGGCGACCCUGCCUUCGGGCGUUGGGGCCCCCGGUGGACACCAUAACUCUGCAUCUUUGCAUCUGAGUAACAUUUUGAAUUAAAUCAAAACUAUCAACAACGGAUCUCUUGGUUCUGGCAUCGAUGAAGAACGCAGCGAAAUGCGAUAAGUAAUGUGAAUUGCAGAAUUCAGUGAAUCAUCGAAUCUUUGAACGCACAUUGCGCUCCCUGGUAUUCCGGGGAGCAUGCCUGUUCGAGCGUCAUUAUCAACCAUCAAGCACUGCUUGGCAUUGGAUGCCGUCCCCCGUGGACGCGUCUUAAACCCUUUGGCGGCGGUUACAUACCUCGAGCGUAGUAGAAAUUCUUAGCUUUCUAGGUUGUGGCUGCUUUGCCUCGAGAACAUCUCACCUCAAGGUUGACCUCGGAUCAGGUAGGGAUACCCGCUGAACUUAA
RNAcentral lists this ribosomal RNA (502 nucleotides) under uncultured fungus. RNAcentral describes it as "eukaryotic LSU rRNA". The stretch from base 159 to 312 matches the Rfam family "5.8S ribosomal RNA". Lineage: Eukaryota; Fungi. The record is from RNAcentral.